GGAUGUGAGGGCGAUCUGGCUGUGACAUCUGUCUUCCCAUUGAUCGCCAGGGUUGAUUUGGUUGAUCUGGCUGGCUAGAUAGGUUUCUCCUUCCUCCUUCACUACCCCAUGUCCUUCCCUGAAUAGAGAUGGACUGGUCUUUGGUAGAUGGUGGAGAAGUAGCUGCGCUCCCCUGCUAGAACCUCCAAAAAGACUCUCAAGGUUUUAUAGACAAGAUAGUGUGCUGUGAGGGAGAAAAUAAAUCAUCCUAUUCCUGGUUGGGAUUUCAGAUGCUGGACAACUAAACAA
Molecule: unclassified non-coding RNA, 288 nt
Organism: Erinaceus europaeus (western European hedgehog)
Lineage: Eukaryota; Metazoa; Chordata; Mammalia; Eulipotyphla; Erinaceidae
Gene: 7SK
Rfam family: 7SK RNA
About the family: 7SK was discovered as an abundant small nuclear RNA in the mid-70s but a possible function has only recently been suggested. Two independent studies have found that 7SK RNA binds the CDK9/cyclin T complex (known as elongation factor P-TEFb). P-TEFb activates transcription by phosphorylating the C-terminal domain of RNA polymerase II.
Source: Ensembl